GCCGACGUAGCUCAGCUGGUAGAGCAACGCAUUCGUAAUGCGUGGGUCGCAGGUUCAAGUCCCGUCGUCGGCU
RNAcentral lists this transfer RNA (73 nucleotides) under Mucilaginibacter sp. RNAcentral describes it as "tRNA-Thr". It matches the Rfam family "tRNA". From Rfam's summary of the family: Transfer RNA (tRNA) molecules are approximately 80 nucleotides in length. Their secondary structure includes four short double-helical elements and three loops (D, anti-codon, and T loops). RNAcentral also lists the same sequence under 1 other name. Lineage: Bacteria; Pseudomonadati; Bacteroidota; Sphingobacteriia; Sphingobacteriales; Sphingobacteriaceae. The record is from RNAcentral.